UACGGUAGGGGCUAGCGUUGUCCGGAAUCAUUGGGCGUAAAGCGCGCGUAGGCGGCCCGGUAAGUCCGCUGUAAAAGUCCAGGGCUCAACCCUGGAAAGCCGGUGGAUACUGUCGGGCUCGAGUCCGGAAGAGGCGAGUGGAAUUCCUGGGUGUAGCGGUGGAAUGCGCAGAUAUCAGGAGGAACACCGAUGGCGAAGGCAGCUCGCUGGGACGGUACUGACGCUGAGGCGCGAAGCGUGGGGA
RNAcentral lists this ribosomal RNA (244 nucleotides) under uncultured bacterium. RNAcentral describes it as "partial 16S ribosomal RNA". It matches the Rfam family "Bacterial small subunit ribosomal RNA", at positions 524 to 767 of the family's 1533-position model. The record is from RNAcentral.